CUACGGGGCGCACCAGUGAGGAAUAUUGGUCAAUGGGCGCGAGCCUGAACCAGCCAUCCCGCGUGCAGGAUGACGGCCCUAUGGGUUGUAAACUGCUUUUCUAUGCCAAGAAACCCUGUUACGAGUAACAGGUUGCCGGUAGCAUAGGAAUAAGCAUCGGCUAACUCCGUGCCAGCAGCCGCGGUAAUACGGAGGAUGCAAGCGUUAUCCGGAUUCAUUGGGUUUAAAGGGUGCGCAGGUGGGCUUGUAAGUCAGUGGUGAAAUGCUGCCGCUUAACGGUAGAAAUGCCAUUGAUACGGCGAGUCUUGAGUAUGGUUGAGGUAGGCGGAAUGUGUUGUGUAGCGGUGAAAUGCAUAGAUAUGACACAGAACGCCAAUUGCGAAGGCAGCUUACUAAGCCAUUACUGACGCUGAGGCACGAAAGCGUGGGGAGCGAACAGGAUUAGAUACCCCUGUAGUC
This 459-nucleotide ribosomal RNA is filed under the name uncultured bacterium. Its description in RNAcentral is "partial 16S ribosomal RNA". It matches the Rfam family "Bacterial small subunit ribosomal RNA", at positions 339 to 795 of the family's 1533-position model. The record is from RNAcentral.